AUAAGUGUCCCAAAUUCAGGAGAGAGCAAAUGAUGAUGUCAUCAUGACAUCAUUAAUGUCAAUCUACCCAGGGAAGGCACGACUCCCGAGGUGGCAGCGGCGACAGCUGCAGUGACAAUGGCGGUGACUACAGUAGUAGCAGUUCGGGGCUCAAGGCACGUAGCCCAAGACUAUCGCGUGCGACAAACUAGGCCUAGUGCAUGCACAGUAAGUCUGCACACCCGAACAGCAUGUUGACACGCGCACAAGGUGAGGUCCGUACACGUGUAGGCUAUCCUAUGCCUGUCGUGUCACACAGGCGCACAUGGGAUCUGUGUGCGAGAUCCGCUCAUGUUGAGUUGCUCGCACUUGACGUGCGCAUCUGCGCGGGAUUCAUUUGUAGACAGGGCGCUGUACAGU
This 399-nucleotide long non-coding RNA is filed under the name Carica papaya (papaya). Its description in RNAcentral is "long non-coding RNA (CPAP_LNC002124)". Lineage: Eukaryota; Viridiplantae; Streptophyta; Magnoliopsida; Brassicales; Caricaceae. The record is from RNAcentral.